CAAGUUAUUUCUCUCUCU
This 18-nucleotide small nuclear RNA is filed under the name Arabidopsis thaliana (thale cress). RNAcentral's name for it is "snRNA_03091". The record is from RNAcentral. Lineage: Eukaryota; Viridiplantae; Streptophyta; Magnoliopsida; Brassicales; Brassicaceae.